Long non-coding RNA from Canis lupus familiaris (dog), 548 nucleotides. RefSeq lists it as uncharacterized. Lineage: Eukaryota; Metazoa; Chordata; Mammalia; Carnivora; Canidae. The transcript has 2 exons. The record is from RefSeq and is a predicted model, not a curated record.
CAGAUCAUUGUUUCUUUUGGAGCUCUGCAGUAGAACAUGAAGCAUGCCUAGAGAGAGGAAGGAAAGGCAGAGAGAGGCAGAAGAUCAAGCAGCAGGUGGCAAGUGGGAUCACAAAAGAACAGAAGGAUUAAUCCCAAAUAAUUAUAAGAAAUAUCAGGAGAAGAAAAUCACUUCAGAAGAUCAAAAUCUGCUAGCAAAGUAGAUGGGGCUUCAGACCAUUAUAAUUUGGUGAUACUACAACAAAGAGAUAAUGGAACGUUGGUACCCGAACUAUUCCUACACAGACCUUGGACCUACCAUGGUGACAACAGCCUUCACUCAACACCAAUUUCCCCCGAGCACCUUCAUCAUAACAUGCUCUGCGAGAGCAUGACACAUCUCCACAUCUUCCAUGCAACAGAAUUAGAUUCUUGGGUUGGCUUUCAAAGACUCUCAUCCUGACCCAAGUCUUUCUUUUCCAUCUCUACAGCUUCUCUGCACACUUCUAUGUCUACAUAUUCUCACCCUGGUCACCUCCAGUUCUAUACAGUUGGUGGUCUUAAAGCUGA